RNAcentral lists this ribosomal RNA (471 nucleotides) under uncultured bacterium. RNAcentral's name for it is "partial 16S ribosomal RNA". It matches the Rfam family "Bacterial small subunit ribosomal RNA", at positions 28 to 507 of the family's 1533-position model. The record is from RNAcentral.
GACGAACGCUGGCGGCGUGCUUAACACAUGCAAGUCGAACGAUGAAGCCUAGCUUGCUAGGUGGAUUAGUGGCGAACGGGUGAGUAAUACGUGAGUAACCUACCUUUAACUCUGGGAUAAGCCCGGGAAACUGGGUCUAAUACCGGAUACGACCAAUCUCCGCAUGGGGUGUUGGUGGAAAGCGUUAUGUAGUGGUUAUAGAUGGGCUCACGGCCUAUCAGCUUGUUGGUGAGGUAACGGCUCACCAAGGCGACGACGGGUAGCCGGCCUGAGAGGGUGACCGGCCACACUGGGACUGAGACACGGCCCAGACUCCUACGGGAGGCAGCAGUGGGGAAUAUUGCACAAUGGGCGCAAGCCUGAUGCAGCGACGCCGCGUGAGGGAUGACGGCCUUCGGGCUGUAAACCUCUGUUAGCAGGGAAGAAGAGAGAUUGACGGUACCUGCAGAGAAAGCGCCGGCUAACUACGUG